CGAAGGGGGCUAGCGUUGCUCGGAAUCACUGGGCGUAAAGCGCACGUAGGCGGAUCUUUAAGUCAGGGGUGAAAUCCUGGAGCUCAACUCCAGAACUGCCUUUGAUACUGGGGAUCUCGAGUCCGGAAGAGGUGAGUGGAACUCCGAGUGUAGAGGUGAAAUUCGUAGAUAUUCGGAAGAACACCAGUGGCGAAGGCGGCUCACUGGUCCGGUACUGACGCUGAGGCGCGAAAGCGUGGGGAGCAAACAGGAUUAGAUACCCUGGUAGUCCACGCCGUAAACGAUGGAUGCUAGCCGUUGGCGGGUUUACUCGUCAGUGGCGCAAAAAGCUAACGCAUUAAGCAUCCCGCCUGGGGAGUACGGUCGCAAGAUUA
This 374-nucleotide ribosomal RNA is filed under the name uncultured organism. RNAcentral's name for it is "bacterial SSU rRNA". It matches the Rfam family "Bacterial small subunit ribosomal RNA", at positions 526 to 896 of the family's 1533-position model. The record is from RNAcentral.